RNAcentral lists this ribosomal RNA (252 nucleotides) under uncultured bacterium. Its description in RNAcentral is "partial 16S ribosomal RNA". It matches the Rfam family "Bacterial small subunit ribosomal RNA", at positions 524 to 776 of the family's 1533-position model. The record is from RNAcentral.
UACGGAGGAUGCGAGCGUUAUCCGGAUUUAUUGGGUUUAAAGGGUGCGCAGGCGGCACGGCAAGCCGGCGGUCAAAUCGCGGGGCUCAACCCCGCCCAGCCGUCGGAACUGCCGGGCUAGAGUGGGCGAGAAGUGCGCGGAAUGCGUGGUGUAGCGGUGAAAUGCAUAGAUAUCACGCAGAACUCCGAUUGCGAAGGCAGCAUACCGGCGCCCGACUGACGCUGAAGCACGAAAGCGUGGGUAUCGAACAGG